CGGGGCGUAGCGCAGCCUGGUAGCGCACCUGCUUUGGGAGCAGGAGGUCGCCCGUUCGAAUCGGGCCGCCCCGACCA
This 77-nucleotide transfer RNA is filed under the name Chloroflexota bacterium. RNAcentral's name for it is "Chloroflexi bacterium (soil metagenome) tRNA-Pro". It matches the Rfam family "tRNA". Rfam says of the family: Transfer RNA (tRNA) molecules are approximately 80 nucleotides in length. The record is from RNAcentral. RNAcentral also lists the same sequence under 5 other names. Lineage: Bacteria; Bacillati; Chloroflexota.